GAUGAACGCUGGCGGCGUGCCUAACACAUGCAAGUCGAGCGAUUUACUUCGGUAAAGAGCGGCGGACGGGUGAGUAACGCGUGGGUAACCUGCCCUGUACACACGGAUAACAUACCGAAAGGUAUGCUAAUACGAGAUAAUAUGCUUUUAUCGCAUGGUAGAAGUAUCAAAGCUUUUGCGGUACAGGAUGGACCCGCGUCUGAUUAGCUAGUUGGUAAGGUAACGGCUUACCAAGGCGACGAUCAGUAGCCGACCUGAGAGGGUGAUCGGCCACAUUGGAACUGAGACACGGUCCAAACUCCUACGGGAGGCAGCAGUGGGGAAUAUUGCACAAUGGGCGAAAGCCUGAUGCAGCAACGCCGCGUGAGCGAUGAAGGCCUUCGGGUCGUAAAGCUCUGUCCUCAAGGAAGAUAAUGACGGUACUUGAGGAGG
Molecule: ribosomal RNA, 432 nt
Filed under: uncultured bacterium
Lineage: Bacteria
Description: bacterial SSU rRNA
Rfam family: Bacterial small subunit ribosomal RNA
Source: RNAcentral